Molecule: transfer RNA, 65 nt
Filed under: Kosemia yezoensis
Lineage: Eukaryota; Metazoa; Arthropoda; Insecta; Hemiptera; Cicadidae
Description: tRNA-Pro
Source: RNAcentral
CAGAAAAUAAUUUAAGCGAAAAUAUAAACUUUGGAAGUUUAAAAUGAUAAUUACAUCUUUUCUGA